This 433-nucleotide ribosomal RNA is filed under the name uncultured bacterium. RNAcentral describes it as "partial 16S ribosomal RNA". It matches the Rfam family "Bacterial small subunit ribosomal RNA", at positions 29 to 507 of the family's 1533-position model. The record is from RNAcentral.
AGCGAACGCUGGCGGCAGGCCUAAUACAUGCAAGUCGAACGGAUCCUUCGGGAUUAGUGGCGGACGGGUGAGUAACACGUGGGAACGUGCCCUUUGGUUCGGAACAACUCAGGGAAACUUGAGCUAAUACCGGAUGUGCCCUUCGGGGGAAAGAUUUAUCGCCAUUGGAGCGGCCCGCGUCUGAUUAGCUAGUUGGUGAGGUAACGGCCCACCAAGGCGACGAUCAGUAGCUGGUCUGAGAGGAUGAUCAGCCACACUGGGACUGAGACACGGCCCAGACUCCUACGGGAGGCAGCAGUGGGGAAUCUUGCGCAAUGGGCGAAAGCCUGACGCAGCCAUGCCGCGUGAAUGAUGAAGGUCUUAGGAUUGUAAAAUUCUUUCAGCGGGGACGAUAAUGACGGUACCCGCAGAAGAAGCUCCGGCUAACUUCGUG